RNAcentral lists this ribosomal RNA (254 nucleotides) under uncultured bacterium. RNAcentral's name for it is "partial 16S ribosomal RNA". It matches the Rfam family "Bacterial small subunit ribosomal RNA", at positions 524 to 776 of the family's 1533-position model. The record is from RNAcentral.
UACGAAGGGGGCUAGCGUUGUUCGGAAUCACUGGGCGUAAAGGGCGCGUAGGCGGCUUUAUAAGUCGGGGGUGAAAGCCUGUGGCUCAACCACAGAAUUGCCUUCGAUACUGUAGAGCUUGAGACCGGAAGAGGUAAGUGGAACUGCGAGUGUAGAGGUGAAAUUCGUAGAUAUUCGCAAGAACACCAGUGGCGAAGGCGGCCCACUCGGCCCGGUACUGACGCUGAGGAGCGAAAGCGUGGGGAGCGAACAGG